GACGACGCUGGCGGCGUGCCUAAUACAUGCAAGUCGAACGAACUCUGGUAUUGAUUGGUGCUUGCAUCAUGAUUUACAUUUGAGUGAGUGGCGAACUGGUGAGUAACACGUGGGAAACCUGCCCAGAAGCGGGGGAUAACACCUGGAAACAGAUGCUAAUACCGCAUAACAACUUGGACCGCAUGGUCCGAGUUUGAAAGAUGGCUUCGGCUAUCACUUUUGGAUGGUCCCGCGGCGUAUUAGCUAGAUGGUGGGGUAACGGCUCACCAUGGCAAUGAUACGUAGCCGACCUGAGAGGGUAAUCGGCCACAUUGGGACUGAGACACGGCCCAAACUCCUACGGGAGGCAGCAGUAGGGAAUCUUCCACAAUGGACGAAAGUCUGAUGGAGCAACGCCGCGUGAGUGAAGAAGGGUUUCGGCUCGUAAAACUCUGUUGUUAAAGAAAGAACAUAUCUGAGAGUAACUGUUCAGGUAUUGACGGUAUUUAACCCAGAAAGCCACGGCUAACUACGUGCCAGCAGCCGCGGUAAUACGUAGGUGGCAAGCGUUGUCCGGGAUUUAUUGGGCGUAAAGCGAGCGCAGGCGGUUUUUUAAGUCUGAUGUGAAAGCCUUUCGGCUCAACCGAAGAAGUGCAUCGGAAACUGGGAAACUUGAGUGCAGAAGAGGACAGUGGAAACUCCAUGUGUAGCGGUGAAAUGCGUAGAUAUAUGGGAAGAACACCAGUGGCGAAAGGCGGCUGUCUGGUCUGUAACUGACGCUGAGGCUCGAAAGUAUGGGUAGCAAACAGGAUUAGAUACCCUGGUAGUCCAUACCGUAAACGAUGAAUGCUAAGUGUUGGAGGGUUUCCGCCCUUCAGUGCUGCAGCUAACGCAUUAAGCAUUCCGCCUGGGGAGUACGGCCGCAAGGCUGAAACUCAAAGGAAUUGACGGGGGCCCGCACAAGCGGUGGAGCAUGUGGUUUAAUUCGAAGCUACGCGAAGAACCUUACCAGGUCUUGACAUACUAUGCAAAUCUAAGAGAUUAGACGUUCCCUUCGGGGACAUGGAUACAGGUGGUGCAUGGUUGUCGUCAGCUCGUGUCGUGAGAUGUUGGGUUAAGUCCCGCAACGAGCGCAACCCUUAUUAUCAGUUGCCAGCAUUAAGUUGGGCACUCUGGUGAGACUGCCGGUGACAAACCGGAGGAAGGUGGGGAUGACGUCAAAUCAUCAUGCCCCUUAUGACCUGGGCUACACACGUGCUACAAUGGAUGGUACAACGAGUUGCGAACUCGCGAGAGUAAGCUAAUCUCUUAAAGCCAUUCUCAGUUCGGAUUGUAGGCUGCAACUCGCCUACAUGAAGUCGGAAUCGCUAGUAAUCGCGGAUCAGCAUGCCGCGGUGAAUACGUUCCCGGGCCUUGUACACACCGCCCGUCACACCAUGAGAGUUUGUAACACCCAAAGUCGGUGGGGUAACCUUUUAGGAACCAGCCGCCUAAGGUGGGACAGAUGAUUAGGUGAAGUCGACAAGG
This 1506-nucleotide ribosomal RNA is filed under the name Lactiplantibacillus plantarum. RNAcentral's name for it is "bacterial SSU rRNA". It matches the Rfam family "Bacterial small subunit ribosomal RNA". The record is from RNAcentral. Lineage: Bacteria; Bacillati; Bacillota; Bacilli; Lactobacillales; Lactobacillaceae.